UACUGAAAUGGCACAGAAAAAAGUUUGGAAAGGGAGAAACUUAAUGGGAAGGAAAUAGAUUUGCCAGGUUCCUUACGUAGAUCCCAUAAGAGAGAUCCAGAUGUGUCUACAGAAUAGGCCUAUGAAUGUGCAGCCCAAUCCACAUUACAAUGCUCACCUGGGCUCCAGUGAAUUGAUUUGAUUCAUUCCUGCUUGAGGCCAUUGGUUAUUAUGCAUUACUAACUGCUGCAACUAUGGCAUCCUUUAAAUUAUCCACUGUGGCAAAAGACUCGGCUGCCAUGGCCUCUUCUGCCCAUUUUCCAUCCAGUCCUUUCAUCUCCCCCUCCACUGCCUGAUGCAGCAUGUCGUGCUCAAGAUGUUCCAUGCAGAGCUAGUAAGGGAGGUGAGUGUGUGGUGUGUGGUUGGUUACACUAUAGUGGCAGUUUCCAUGGUGAUCUGGCACAGGAAGAGAAACAUGGGAGAAGGAACAUGGAAGACUCUAAAAGGAUAUCUGGCCACACAACUGGUGAAGCUUUUUAAAGUGGCUAAGUAUAUUCUGAUUAAAGCUCUUUGCACCUUUCUGAAACAUUUGAAUUCUUUGAUGUGAAGCAAGGCUGCUGCUGCUCUGGCUAAAGAAUUUCUCCCUGAAGAGCAGUCACUGAUCCUGGGAAUUAAAUGUUAUGUUCUACUAAAUGCUCCUGCUAUGGGAAUCUAAUGAGUAAGAUGAAGUGAUGUUAAUAUAUCUGAUAGUUAUAUCUAUGAACAUUAAUUUAAAUAAUAAAUGCUGAAGGGUAUGUGUGAUUCUGAUAAGUACUCUUCAGAUGUUUGCUGAACAUGACAGAUUUAUAAUUGAGUAGAGGGGCGGGGUACUGUUAUACCCUUCAAAAAUUAGGAAAUAUUCCAGGGGAGUGGGGAGCACUUUAUAAGAUUACACAGAGCAGUCCCAAAGCCACAUUGACUUUCUUAAUAAUCCCAUAUAUAUUACGUGGUCUUUGGUAAUUUGGUAAUUUCUAAAGUCUUUAAAAGUUUUCACACACCUUUGUUCUGGAUCCUUCUCACCUCCUUGCAAGGGGGUCUCUGCUGCAACAGAAAAAUAAAGAUCUGCCUUGCUUUGA
Podarcis raffonei (Aeolian wall lizard) is the source of this 1094-nucleotide long non-coding RNA. RefSeq lists it as uncharacterized. Lineage: Eukaryota; Metazoa; Chordata; Lepidosauria; Squamata; Lacertidae. The transcript is spliced from 2 exons. The record is from RefSeq and is a predicted model, not a curated record.